This 19-nucleotide microRNA is filed under the name Rattus norvegicus (Norway rat). RNAcentral describes it as "rno-miR-122-3p". Its record names the gene rno-miR-122-3p. Lineage: Eukaryota; Metazoa; Chordata; Mammalia; Rodentia; Muridae. The record is from miRBase by way of RNAcentral.
AACGCCAUCAUCACACUAA